Molecule: unclassified non-coding RNA, 220 nt
Filed under: Hevea brasiliensis (rubber tree)
Lineage: Eukaryota; Viridiplantae; Streptophyta; Magnoliopsida; Malpighiales; Euphorbiaceae
Source: RNAcentral
GUGAAAACCAGAAUGUUUUAGACAGACUUUACGCUGAGCAAUUUCACAUUGCGGACAAAACUUCAAAGAGGCCAUUUGUUACUCUGGAAGAUCUUAAUGAGAUGCCUUAUGCUUCAAAGGUAGUCAAAGAAUCCUUAAGGUUGGCAUCUAUAGUACCCUGGUUUCCAAGAUUAUCACUUGAUGAAUGUGAGAUUGAAGGAUUUAAGAUAAUGAAAGGUUG